RNAcentral lists this ribosomal RNA (74 nucleotides) under uncultured bacterium. RNAcentral describes it as "partial 16S ribosomal RNA". It matches the Rfam family "Bacterial small subunit ribosomal RNA", at positions 282 to 354 of the family's 1533-position model. The record is from RNAcentral.
CGUAGCCGGCCUGAGAGGGUGGAACGGCCACAUUGGGACUGAGACACGGCCCAGACUCCUACGGGAGGCAGCAG